Molecule: ribosomal RNA, 747 nt
Filed under: Sphaerulina musiva
Lineage: Eukaryota; Fungi; Ascomycota; Dothideomycetes; Mycosphaerellales; Mycosphaerellaceae
Description: eukaryotic LSU rRNA
Rfam family: Eukaryotic large subunit ribosomal RNA
Source: RNAcentral
GAAGCGGCAACAGCUCAAAUUUGAAAUCUGGCGCAAGCCCGAGUUGUAAUUUGUAGAGGAUGCUUCUGGGUAGCGACCGGUCUAAGUUCCUUGGAACAGGACGUCAUAGAGGGUGAGAAUCCCGUAUGUGACCGGCCCGCACCCUAUACGUAGCUCCUUCGACGAGUCGAGUUGUUUGGGAAUGCAGCUCUAAAUGGGAGGUAAAUUUCUUCUAAAGCUAAAUACCGGCCAGAGACCGAUAGCGCACAAGUAGAGUGAUCGAAAGAUGAAAAGUACUUUGGAAAGAGAGUUAAAAAGCACGUGAAAUUGUUGAAAGGGAAGCGCCUGCAAUCAGACUUCGCGGCAGUGUUCCACCGGUCUUCUGACCGGUCUACUCUCUGCCGCGAGGCCAUCAUCGUCUUGGCCCGCUGGAUAAGACCCUGGGAAUGUAGCUCCCCCUCGGGGGAGUGUUAUAGCCCCGGGUGAUGCAGCGCGGCUGGGGCGAGGUCCGCGCUUCGGCAAGGAUGAUGGCGUAAUGGUUGUCGGCGGCCCGUCUUGAAACACGGACCAAGGAGUCUAACAUCUAUGCGAGUGUUCGGGUGUCAAACCCCUACGCGUAAUGAAAGUGAACGGAGGUGGGAACCGCAAGGUGCACCAUCGACCGAUCCUGAUGUCCUCGGAUGGAUUUGAGUAAGAGCAUAGCUGUUGGGACCCGAAAGAUGGUGAACUAUGCCUGAAUAGGGUGAAGCCAGAGGAAACUCUGGUGGA